Molecule: transfer RNA, 73 nt
Filed under: Pleodorina starrii
Lineage: Eukaryota; Viridiplantae; Chlorophyta; Chlorophyceae; Chlamydomonadales; Volvocaceae
Rfam family: tRNA
About the family: Transfer RNA (tRNA) molecules are approximately 80 nucleotides in length.
Source: Rfam by way of RNAcentral
GGGCCUAUGGCUUAAUGGAUAAAGCGCCGGUCUACGGAAUCGGAGAUUCCAGGUUCGAUCCCUGGCAUGCUCG